CUCCCCGGGAGCGUUGGGGUGAGGCCUAAAGGAGAGGUACACAUCUAGCCCAAAGCAACUCCAUGCCAGGUUUGUUGUUGGUUUUGUUUUUCAUUUCCUCUCUUCCUCCUUGGUGCAAUCUUUCCCUCUGGGACCAAGCCUCCAUUUCAGCCUGCUUCAUAGCCUGGGGUUCUCUGUAUGCUCGUUCCGAGCCGAGGGAAGGGGGGCCACCUCUACUGUGCAACAGUGUCAGCCACCGCCCUAUCCAUCCCCCCCCCCCCCCGAAAGAGUCCCAGCCGCUCACACUGGCAGGGACUUCUGCACUCACUGACAUCCAGUGUAUCCUUCAUUCCCCCAGAGCAGGCCAGUUUCUGGGGAGGAGGCCACUUCAGUUUUCUCUUUGCAGCCUUUUUGAGUUUCUGGUCUAACAAGUGGAUGUCUGGUGACUGUUGUAAGGACCUGCUGGAAUCUUCUCUGAAGAUCCCAAGGAAGCCAGCCCAAAAGGAUCGGGUUGGGUUUAGUCAGCUCUAAAAACUCCUUAAAGAAGAAUCCAGCGCCUCACUCUGGUGCCCACACAUCACAGCCCGACCUCCAGUCCGGAUGAUCUGCUCUUGUGGGGAAGUGGAGGCCUCAGGAGACGUGGCUCCCACCCACAGGUUGCUGCUCAGAAGGCCCUGGCCCUGCCAGAGAACACCCGCCAGCUUUGAGCCAAGGCUGCCUGCUCAACACCCGGAGCUUCCUCACCGUAUGAUUUUAUCUUUCUGGCUACCAGAAAGCAGCCAGGCUAAGAAGAGAAAGAAACAGAUCAAGAGGCAGGAGUUACAUGUUCAAGGCAUGUGAGUGAUGGUGGGUCCCAGGCCUGCCUGGCCCUUCAGGUCCUCUGCGGACCCAACGGACCUCCUUCUGUCAGGCCAGAAGAGGGCAUCAGACCCGCUGGAACUGGAGUU
Peromyscus leucopus (white-footed mouse) is the source of this 926-nucleotide long non-coding RNA. RefSeq lists it as uncharacterized. NCBI's taxonomy places the organism in Eukaryota, Metazoa, Chordata, Mammalia, Rodentia, Cricetidae. The transcript is spliced from 3 exons. The record is from RefSeq and is a predicted model, not a curated record.